This 442-nucleotide ribosomal RNA is filed under the name uncultured cyanobacterium. Its description in RNAcentral is "bacterial SSU rRNA". It matches the Rfam family "Bacterial small subunit ribosomal RNA", at positions 338 to 795 of the family's 1533-position model. Lineage: Bacteria; Bacillati; Cyanobacteriota. The record is from RNAcentral.
CCUACGGGAGGCAGCAGUGGGGAAUUUUCCGCAAUGGGCGCAAGCCUGACGGAGCAAUACCGCGUGAGGGAGGAAGGCUUUUGGGUUGUAAACCUCUUUUAUUCGGGAAGAAGAACUGACGGUACCGAAUGAAUCAGCAUCGGCUAACUCCGUGCCAGCAGCCGCGGUAAUACGGAGGAUGCAAGCGUUAUCCGGAAUUAUUGGGCGUAAAGGGUCCGCAGGUGGUCAUACAAGUCUGCUGUUAAAGCGUGGAGCUUAACUCCAUACAGGCAGUGGAAACUGUGUGACUAGAGUUCGGUAGGGGUCACGGGAAUUCCCAGUGUAGCGGUGAAAUGCGUAGAUAUUGGGAAGAACACCGGCGGCGAAAGCGCGUGACUGGGCUGAGACUGACACUGAGGGACGAAAGCUAGGGGAGCGAAAGGGAUUAGAUACCCCAGUAGUC